CUCCUACGGGAGGCAGCAGUCGGGAAUUUUGGGCAAUGGGCGAAAGCCUGACCCAGCAACGCCGCGUGAAGGAUGAAGUAUUUCGGUAUGUAAACUUCGAAAGAAUGGGAAGAAUCAAUGACGGUACCAUUUAUAAGGUCCGGCUAACUACGUGCCAGCAGCCGCGGUAAUACGUAGGGACCAAGCGUUGUUCGGAUUUACUGGGCGUAAAGGGCGCGUAGGCGGCUUGUCAAGUCACUUGUGAAAUCUCCGGGCUUAACCCGGAACGGCCAAGUGAAACUGACAUGCUAGAGUGCAGAAGGGGCAAUCGGAAUUCUCGGUGUAGCGGUGAAAUGCGUAGAUAUCGAGAGGAACACCUGAGGUGAAGACGGGUUGCUGGGCUGACACUGACGCUGAGGCGCGAAAGCCAGGGGAGCAAACGGGAUUAGAUACCCCGGUAGUCCUGGCCCUAAACGAUGAAUACUUGGUGUCUGGAGUUAUUAGUGCUCCGGGUGCCGUCGCUAACGU
This 507-nucleotide ribosomal RNA is filed under the name uncultured bacterium. Its description in RNAcentral is "bacterial SSU rRNA". It matches the Rfam family "Bacterial small subunit ribosomal RNA", at positions 336 to 858 of the family's 1533-position model. The record is from RNAcentral.